UACAGAGGGGGCAAGCGUUGUUCGGAAUUACUGGGCGUAAAGGGCGCGUAGGUGGCCUUCUAAGUUGAACGUGAAAUCCCUGGGCUCAACCCAGGAACUGCGUCCAAGACUGGGAGGCUUGAAUCCGGGAGAGGGAUGCGGAAUUCCAGGUGUAGCGGUGAAAUGCGUAGAUAUCUGGAGGAACACCGGUGGCGAAGGCGGCCAUCUGGACGGUAACUGACGCUGAGACGCGAAAGCGUGGGUAGCAAACAGG
This 253-nucleotide ribosomal RNA is filed under the name uncultured bacterium. Its description in RNAcentral is "partial 16S ribosomal RNA". It matches the Rfam family "Bacterial small subunit ribosomal RNA", at positions 524 to 776 of the family's 1533-position model. The record is from RNAcentral.